Molecule: ribosomal RNA, 115 nt
Filed under: Periophthalmus magnuspinnatus
Lineage: Eukaryota; Metazoa; Chordata; Actinopteri; Gobiiformes; Gobiidae
Source: RNAcentral
UACGUGGCCAUACCAGCUUGUCAAAGCCUGAUCAUCAGACCUCAGAAGCUAAGCAGAGUCGGGGCCGGUUAGAACUUGGAUGAGAGAACACUGGGAAUACCAGGUGCCACAGUGG